Molecule: long non-coding RNA, 680 nt
Organism: Ostrinia nubilalis (European corn borer)
Lineage: Eukaryota; Metazoa; Arthropoda; Insecta; Lepidoptera; Crambidae
Exons: 5
Source: RefSeq, a predicted model, not a curated record
GUCUACCAGAUUGUCAAACACAGUUUGCUUUGGUAAGCAAAUUCAAGUUAUAGGAACUCUUUGAGUGUAUUCUUUGUUUGAAGCUUAAUUUUAAUGUAAAUUUUAAUUUUGAUGAUGACUAGUAGAGUUCAUGGAAAAAAAUGGUGACUUAUCUAAACCUUCCGGAGGUCCAAGAAGACGCGGAAGGAAUUAGCGGAAAAAUUAAACAGUGAUGGAACAGGCGACUCUCGAUCGGUGGAGAAAUAGCGCAAGGUGUGGAGUGAUUUAAAAGAUAACACUAAAAGAAAGCUGGGUAAAAUAAAAAGAGCUGCAAGUGGCACUGGUGGUGGACCGACCUUGAAAACAGGGUCAUGCAAAUAAUUGGAGUGGAGGCAGCUACUGGCACGACGGUGGUGGAAGCUGGCUUUCAGCAGAUUGAAGAUAGUGGAAAAACGCCCAACACCCAGCUAGAAGAAAUUAUGAUACCUGGGUAUAUAGAAGAUAACCAAUUAUUUACUCUGGAUACAACAGCUACAGAAGCCGAUCGGAACACCCCAAGCACCAGUAGCCAAUCCACCGUGAUGCCGCCCACCUUCAGAGUGAAGAGACCGGUGCUUCUCCACCUUCUAAUUUAUCCCGUAAUUAUUUAAUUUAAGCUGUGUGUACAACAUUAAUUAACAAAUAAAGCUACUACAUAAAUA